Molecule: ribosomal RNA, 136 nt
Filed under: Pogona vitticeps (central bearded dragon)
Lineage: Eukaryota; Metazoa; Chordata; Lepidosauria; Squamata; Agamidae
Source: RNAcentral
CAGGGUCCUAUGUUCUUUGUACCCAUCGUCCCACCUUGAAAUUCCUAGAUCCUGACUGAUUUUGGAAACUAAGAAGAGCCAUGUCUGGUUAGGAUAUGGAUGAGAGACCACCAGUGACCUCCUGAUAGGGCUUGGA